CUUUGGAGUGGCUCAGCUCAGUUCUAAUCCUUGCUGCUUCAAUUUCCAUCCAGCUCCCUGCUUGUGGCCUGGGAAAGCAGUGGAAGAUGGCAUGGGGCCUU
Long non-coding RNA from Ochotona curzoniae (black-lipped pika), 101 nucleotides. RefSeq lists it as uncharacterized. The record is from RefSeq and is a predicted model, not a curated record. NCBI's taxonomy places the organism in Eukaryota, Metazoa, Chordata, Mammalia, Lagomorpha, Ochotonidae. The transcript has 4 exons.